Molecule: unclassified non-coding RNA, 230 nt
Filed under: Hevea brasiliensis (rubber tree)
Lineage: Eukaryota; Viridiplantae; Streptophyta; Magnoliopsida; Malpighiales; Euphorbiaceae
Source: RNAcentral
AGGCUAUGGAAGGUUUGAAAUACCUUUAUUUGGCUAACUGCAGAAAUCUUCAGAGUCUUCCGAACAGCAUUGGUAAUUUGAAAAAUCUUGCAGAGCUUGAUUUAAGAGGGACAAUGAUUAAAGAGCUACCCUCGUCCAUUGAGCAUCUAACUGGCCUUGAUCAGUUAGAACUACAGAACUGCAAAAGCCUGGUGAACCUUCCGGACAGCAUUUGCAAUUUAAAAUCCCUG